This 262-nucleotide unclassified non-coding RNA is filed under the name uncultured Eurotiales. RNAcentral's name for it is "sequence contains 5.8S rRNA gene, ITS2, 28S rRNA gene". Lineage: Eukaryota; Fungi; Ascomycota; Eurotiomycetes; Eurotiales. The record is from RNAcentral.
AACGCACAUUGCACCCCCUGGUAUUCCGGGGGGUAUGCCUGUCCGAGCGUCAUUGCUGCCCUCAAGCACGGCUUGUGUGUUGGGUCGUCGUCCCCCCGGGGACGGGCCCGAAAGGCAGCGGCGGCACCGCGUCCGGUCCUCGAGCGUAUGGGGCUUUGUCACCCGCUCUUGUAGGCCCGGCCGGCGCUGGCCGACGCUGAAAAGCAACCAACUAUUUCUCCAGGUUGACCUCGGAUCAGGUAGGGAUACCCGCUGAACUUAA